This 53-nucleotide small RNA is filed under the name human gut metagenome. RNAcentral's name for it is "Streptococcus sRNA SpF59 (ldcC RNA)". It matches the Rfam family "Streptococcus sRNA SpF59 (ldcC RNA)". The record is from RNAcentral.
GACCCAUCCCUCCAGGGAUGCAAGGCCGGACGGACAGCCGGGUCAAAUGCCGA